Long non-coding RNA from Pangasianodon hypophthalmus (striped catfish), 841 nucleotides. RefSeq lists it as uncharacterized. NCBI's taxonomy places the organism in Eukaryota, Metazoa, Chordata, Actinopteri, Siluriformes, Pangasiidae. The record is from RefSeq and is a predicted model, not a curated record. The transcript is spliced from 5 exons.
UCCAGACAGCAGGGAUCCUCCAGUAAAAAGGCUUUUUAGUCUCAGUCUAGUAGGACAUCAGUUCGUCUGAGGUGAUUAAAAAUGACACGCCUACACAAAUCCAGCACACAAAGAUACAUAAACACACACACACACACACACACACACGGGCAGAUACGAACACGUGUCCGUUUGGUCACACACUCACAAGUCCACAGUGUGUAGCGAGACGGAGAGAAGAGGAGGAGAACAAUGGGAUGAAAAGGAGAAUUCCGCCUCCUCUCACCUGAUCAGACGGAGUUAUUUAUUGUAAAGUUGAGAUCCAGUGAACUUCUGCGGGGGCCAGAUUUCACCUCGCAAGUGGACAAGCGAUUUAGUGAACGAGUGAAAAACGUUGGGAUUGCUCUGAUAAAUCCCCUCAGCUGCUGGAGAGUCACUUCCUGUUCCCAUCAGUCUCUCAUCACCUCUUGGCAGAGAGUCACCAAAACGAUUCUGCAAAUGAUUCUUUUGGAACGAGUCAUUAAGGUGAACGAAUCAGUAUCACUCACUGCCAUGCACUGAGUCAUUUCAUCUGCGCAGUCACUGCUGAGGGGCUUCACAAUUCCAAACAUGGAAGCUGUUUCGUCUUGUCACGGCUGAGCAGCGUGACAGCGGCAUGUGAUGGGAGCAUGCCACGGCCACCGAAGCACUUCACAAACGUGUGUGUGUGUGUGUGUGUGUGUGUGUGUGUGUAAGAGAGAGAGUGUGUGAUUUAAAAGACAAAGUCUAAAAGGAGAAAAACUGUUCAUGAGACCUAUCAGUGAGCUUUCGUAGUGAGCUAACUUCUUCCUACACUUUGUCUUUAGUUUACAAUCCAUAUUAA